Molecule: long non-coding RNA, 316 nt
Organism: Nematolebias whitei (Rio pearlfish)
Lineage: Eukaryota; Metazoa; Chordata; Actinopteri; Cyprinodontiformes; Rivulidae
Exons: 3
Source: RefSeq, a predicted model, not a curated record
AUCCAGGGCCUGAACCUUGGCCUGUCUUUCUCUGAGCUGAAGGGUAAUGUGGAGGUGGCAGGAGUGCCGUGCACCCCACAGGAAGAUGGAUACAUCACUGCAGAGCAGAUUGUGUGUGAGAUGGCUGCAGCUCCUGAAGGCAGAACGCCAGGUCCAGUUAAACUGUGCGUUGGUGAAUGCAGACCAGAGCUAAGUGCUCAGUCCUCGCAUCUCUACUCCUUUGUGACCCCUAUCAUGUUGGCACUGACCCCAAGCAGAGGGCCUGAAUCAGGAGGUACCAAAGUCACCAUCGUCGGAGAGAAUCUGAGUGCAGGCA